GACGAACGCUGUAGGCAGGCCUAACACAUGCAAGUCGAGCGGAGCGGCGGACGGGUGAGUAAUACCUAGGAAUCUGCCUGGUAGUGGGGGAUACCGUUCGGAAACGGACGCUAAUACCGCAUACUAUCAGAUGAGCCUAGGUCGGAUUAGCUAGUUGGUGCGGUAAUGGCUCACCAAGGCUCCGAUCCGUAACUGGUCUGAGAGGAGGUUCAGUCACGUUGGAACGGAGACACGGGCCAGACUCCUACGGGAGGCAGCAGUGGGGAAUAUGGGACAAGGGGCGAAAGCCUGAUCCAGCCAUGCCGCGUGUGUGAAGAAGGUCUUCGGAUUGUAAAGCACUUUAAGUUGGGAGGCGUGACCGACAGAAUAAGCACCGGCUAACUCUGUGCCAGCAGCCGCGGUAAUUC
This 407-nucleotide ribosomal RNA is filed under the name uncultured bacterium. RNAcentral describes it as "partial 16S ribosomal RNA". It matches the Rfam family "Bacterial small subunit ribosomal RNA", at positions 28 to 526 of the family's 1533-position model. The record is from RNAcentral.